UACGGGGGGGGCAAGCGUUGUUCGGAAUUACUGGGCGUAAAGGGCUCGUAGGCGGCCAACUAAGUCGGACGUGAAAUCCCCAGGCUCAACCUGGGAACUGCGUCCGAUACUGGAUGGCUUGAAUCCGGGAGAGGGAUGCAGAAUUCCAGGUGUAGCGGUGAAAUGCGUAGAUAUCUGGAGGAAUACCGGUGGCGAAGGCGGCAACCUGGACCGGCAUUGACGCUGAGGAGCGAAAGCCAGGGGAGCAAACGGG
Molecule: ribosomal RNA, 253 nt
Filed under: uncultured bacterium
Lineage: Bacteria
Description: partial 16S ribosomal RNA
Rfam family: Bacterial small subunit ribosomal RNA
Source: RNAcentral